GGGCGGGGAGGGGGCAGGGCCUACAGGUGGGGGUGUGGCCCGUGCCGAGAGGGACUGGGCACUCCGAGCGUCCGGAGCCAGAGGAGGGGUUGUUGAUCUGUCCGGCGUUUCUUCGGGUGCAAGUCCUGUCGCCUAGUCCUUAGAAAAAAUACCCGGUUUUCUGGGAGAUUGCGUGCUUGUGUGCCCUCUGUGCUUAUCUUCCUUCCGCGAAAUUGGAGUUGUGGAAGGCUUCCUCAGAAGUGUGUGUGUGUGUGUGUGUGUGUGAAUUCCUGACUCAUUCUACACCAGUGUUACUUGAUGAUAUAAGAACGUUCUGGCAGAAAAAAAGGUCUCUAGCUCUUGAAGUCCUGAGUGUGCACUGAGCUGCCUAGGGCCCCUCAGUUGAGAGAACACAGACUCAUUUAACACAUCCUGAAGAAAGCUUGUGGUCAUUCCAUGGGGAGGUAGGAAGCUUCAUGUGCUUGAUGCGUCACUUCAAAGGUACUGAGAAAAGAGAGGCUCUUCUAGGUGGGGUUAAAGGGAUGCCAUGCCGCUGACGUGACACCACCCGCCUCAGAGUGGGUGAGUGACAAAGCUGUGCUAAGGACAAGAACUGUGAAAUAUCCAGUGCGUCCUAUAUACCUUUGAAUAUUUCCCAACAAAUAUUCAUUGAGGAAGGGGGAGUGUGGACUGGGAAACAGGUAUCCUUACUUCAAGAUUUGCUCUUCAAAAAUCUGUUUAAAAUUUUCAUCUCAGGCUUGUUUGGGUCUGGAGAGAAACUUUAGAUUUUAGAGCUGGAAGUAGCAGAAGAUAUCUAGCUAUCCCAGCUUCCUUCUUUCUUUCUUUAUUUUUUUUUUUUAAGAUAAACAGGUUCAGAGAAAUUCUUUUUGUGUGUGAAUUCUUUUUUAAAUUUUAAUUGGAGGCUACUUUACAAUAUUGUGGUGGUUUUGCCAUACAUUCACAUGAGACAGCCAUGGGUGUACAUGUGUUCCCUGUCCUGAACGCCCCUCCCACCUCCUCCCCACUCCAUCCCCCAGGGUCGUCCCAGUGCACCAGCCCUGAGCACCCUGUCUGAACGCCCCUCCCACCUUCUCCCCACUCCAUCCCCCAGGGUCAUCCCAGUGCACCAGCCCUGAGCACCCUGUCUCAUGCAUUGCAGGUUGAGAGAAAUUAAAUGAUUUGCUCAAGUUAGUAGAAGAGUUCAGACUAAAAUCCAAGUGUCAACAGCUUCCGGUAUUUUGAAGAACCAGUGGCUUGGAGGAGAUUGGUGAUUUAGUCACUAAGUUGUGUCUGGCUUUUGCGACCCCAUGGACUGUAACCUACCAGGCUCCUCUGUCCAUGGUAUUUCCCAGGCAAAAGUACUGGAGUGGGUUGCCCUUUCUUUCUCCAGGGGAUCUUCCCGACACAGGAAUCAAACCCCUAUCCCCUGCAUUGCAGGCAGAUUCUUCACCUACUGAGCCACAGGGAAGCUCAGCUUGGGGGAAGGGAUAAAUUGGGAGGUUGGGAUGACAUGCUCACUGCUAUAUAUAAAAGAGAUAACUAGUCAGAACCUACUGAAUAGCUCAGGGAACUUUACUCAAUACUCUUUAAUGGCUUUUAUGGGAAAAGAACCUAAAAAAAGAGUGGGUAUAUGUAUAACUGAUUCACUUUGCUGUAUAGCAGAAGGUAAAACAAUAUUGUAAAUCAACUAUAGUCCAAUAAAAAAUAAAGAAAUUAAACAUUAAAAACCAGUGGCUUAUAUAGAUUUUGUAUGUUUCUUUAUCUGAUAGCAUUAACCAAGGGCAGAUUCUAUAGAAUUUUACCGUUAAAUGUUCUAGCUGGGUGGCAAAUAUUUAUUUAUCAGCGCAAUAAUAAUGGAAAUGUUUUUGUUCUUUCAGUUCACUAGCAUGGGAGUAUAGGAAGCAUUAGAUGGUCCCACAAACUGGAGAACAAUUAUACCAAAGAAGUUCUCACACUGUUGUGAAAGUUCUAGGACCCACAACAGAUUUCCCAACCUGGGGAUCUGGCAAAGGAACUGAGAACCUCCAGGGAAUUUGACUUUGAAGGCCAGUGGGAUUUGUUACAGAACUUCCGCACGACUGGGGAAACAGACUCUUGGAGGGCACAAACAAAACCUCAUGCGCACCAGGACCCAGGAGAAAGGAGCAGUGGCCCCACUGAGACUGAGCCAGACUUGCUCCUGCCAGGCACCUCUGUCCAUGGGAUUUUCAGGCAGGAAUACUGGAGUGGGUAGCUGUUCCUUGUCCGGGGGAUCUUCCCGACCCAGGGGUGGAACCUACAUCUCCUGAGUCUCCUGCACUGGCAGCUGCGUUCUUUAUCACAGAGCCACCUGGGAAGGAUUUCCGUAAGUGCUGCUUAAACAUGCCCAUUUCCCCAUAAUUUUGUGCUUGGACCAUUUAUCAGUUUACAUCCUCGUACAAGUGACACUCCCAUGGUUCCAAUGACUUCCUUAACCAUAUUCUCUGCCUUGAGAACUUCCUCCCAAAUUGGAGGUUUCUCCUUCUGUAUUUCUAAGUCUAAAAUGGAAUGCUUUCUUACCACAUCAUCUGCUCCGUAACAAAGGCACUCUGCCACAUGAUAAGCCUUGGAUUCAUUCUCCACCUCUCCUUUCUCACUUCUCUCAUAAAAGUAGCCAUUAAGCACUCUCAAUUAUUUCUCAAAAAUGUCUCUCAAACCUGUACUUUUCCAUUUCUUGAAUUAUUUCCUCCCCCAAACCUCACUUCUUUGCCUAAGAUCUUCCAUUGGGUCUCCAUUAUUCACAAGAUUUUUCAGCUUAGCGAGGACAAACUUUACCAGUAAAGCUUUUCACAAUUUCCAGCCUCAGUAACAACCACUUCCUCUCAGGCGCCCUAUUCCCCAGUCAUUUUCAUGAUAUACCUUCUGGCUCUUUCAGAUGUUCAUACUUCUGCACAUGCCUUUCCGUUGCCCUUAAAGGUCCUCCAUACCAGAGUUUUCCAAAGCUGCUUGAGAAUAAGAAUCAGGUAAAGUGCGUGUCAAUAAAUACAGCUGCGCACAGCUUCUCCGGAGUCUUGUUCACAGGGUCUAGGACGGGUCCUGGGAAGCUAUGUUUUAACAAGUGGCCUCACUGUCAUUCUUGUCAUUGGGCCGGUUUAGCAGACAGGUUUCACUCUUACUCCACUUUCAGAGUGUAACGCUUUUACCCUUUCACCUGCGAAAGACCUCUGAAUGCACAGGCAAAAAUUCAGUCCUCCAGGACAUUAGCCGUCUGCUAUAGUAAGUGAGUGGGACUUGAAACAUAUGUUUCUUACUAACACUAACCAGGCAAGAUUAUAAUUUACCUGUCCCCCCCCAAAAAAAACCUUCAGUGGCUUCUAUUAGCUACAAAAUGAAAUCUGCACUUAAGUCAACUUAGCAAGUCCUUUGAGUAUCUAUUAUAUAUCAAAAAAGAUUCUAGGUUUGAUACAGAAUCAAAGAUUCUAGGUUUGAUUAAGACCCAAUCUCAAGGAGCUCACAUGAUCUAGAAAGGAAUGACUCUGCUUGGCAUUUAAAGUCUUACAAAUCUUGGCCCAACCCGUCUUUCUCUUCUGUUUAUCUCCCCGGGGCCUCUUCAUAUUCAGUCUCAGGCCCUUCACACUUGGUGUUCGUCGUGCCUGGAAUACUCUUCCCUCUCCCAUUUGAUCUGGCUCACUUCUGCUGUUCCUUUAGCGGUUACCACAAGCAUGUUUUCCUUAGGAAAUUCUUUGUUCUUCCUGUCUAGGACAAAUCCUGCUAUUGUAACAUUCACCUCAUAUCCCCUCCAAGACAUUUGUCCCAGAUUUGAUUUUCUACUUGUUUAUACGAUUAUUUGAUUAAUGUUUGUCUUCUCCUCUGUACUGCAAGCUCCACGAGGACAGGGGGCUGUGUUGUGGUUACACAGAUGUUCACUGUGUAGCUGUUCGUUAAUCUGUCUCUGUAUGUUUAUGUAACAUUCAGUAGAUUUGAUCUAUCCCUAACACUUAUCUUGCACAAUAUAUUCAAAAUCAAAUCUUGAACAUUUAUUCAAACCUAACAAUACUGGAGAAGACUCUUGAGAGUCCCUUGGACUGUAAGGAGAUCCAACCAGUCAAUCCUAAAGGAAAUCAAUCCUGAAUAUUCAUUGGAAGGACUGAUGUGGAAGCUGAAACUCCAAUACUUUGGUCACCUGAUGUGAAGAGCUGACUCAUUGGAAAAGACCCUGAUGCUGGGAAAGAUUGAAGGCUGGAGGAGAAGGGGACGACAGAGGAUGAGAUGGUUGGAUGGCAUCUCUGACUUGAUGGACAUGAGUUUGAACAAGCUCCAGGAGUUGGUGAUGGACAGGGAGGCCUGGCCUGCUGCAGUUCAUGGGGUCGCAAAGAGUCAGACACGGCUGAGCGACUGAACUGAACUGAACAAUAAUAACAGCUAAAAUUUUGGAUUAUUUUAUUAUGUACCAGGCCCCUAAAUGAAUUAUUUAAUCUUUAUAAUGAAACUUUAAGAUAUAUUCUAUUAUUACUCCCAUUUCAUAGAAUGGCUUAAAAAAUUACCCACCUCCUGCUUCCCUGUCCCUAGCAUCUGAAACUACUCUCCUUCUCUGUCUUCCCAUUGACGUCUUAAGUAAUUGUACUCACCAGCUAUUCUGCUCCACCACAUGGACUAGUCUCUCAGUCUGGGAUGCUCUCUCCUUUCCUCACUUACUUACUUUUCUCCUCCUCAUCGCUCUCAAAAGAGUUUCUAGGACCCGCCCUAGAUCAGAUCAGCUCCUUGUUAUAUGUACUAGUUUUCUAUUGUUACUACAAUAAAUUCCCACAAAUUUAAUGGCUUAAAAAACCACAAAUUUAUCAUUGCACAGUACUGGAUGUGAAAACUCCUACAACCAAUGUGUUGGCAUAACUGUGUUCCUUCUGCAGGCUCUUGGGGGAGAAUCCAAUUCUCCAAUGAUCUUUGUUAAGAACCAGGGGCUUUCUAGGUAGACGUAAGAGACGCAGGUUCAAUCCCUGCAUAGGGAAGAUCCCCUGAAGGAGGGCACAGCAACUCACUCCAGUAUUCUUGCCUGGAGAACCCUAUGGACAGAGGAGCCUGGCCGGCUAUAGUCCAUAGACUCACAAAGAGUCAGACACGACUAAAGUGACUUAGCACGCAUCAAGAAUCAACUUUGGGAAGGUUAUGUGAUAAAGAUGAUGCUGAGGUGGAUGGGUUACCUCUCCUUUUAUAUUCAUUAAGUGGCUGGUGUAGAAAACAUUUUACAGCUCAAUCUGAGAACCCUUAGAUUCUUUAAUUUCUUUCUAAUCAGGCAUGGACAGAGAUAUGAGAAAAUAUGCAUACAGAGCUAUGCAGGCAAAACUCAGUCAGAGGCACCAUAGAUCUUCAUUAUCAAUUAGGGCAAUAAAACUUAUUUUUGCAAAAUUAUUGUUUUUCAUAAUGGCUACUUUUGUAUUUAUUACUGUGAUUGUGUUAUAUACAAUGAAUAUCUAGUUCUGAGAAACAAACAAAAAACUGCUGAUGG
This is a long non-coding RNA of Bos taurus (domestic cattle), 5440 nucleotides long. NCBI's taxonomy places the organism in Eukaryota, Metazoa, Chordata, Mammalia, Artiodactyla, Bovidae. The record is from Ensembl.